Molecule: ribosomal RNA, 464 nt
Filed under: uncultured bacterium
Lineage: Bacteria
Description: partial 16S ribosomal RNA
Rfam family: Bacterial small subunit ribosomal RNA
Source: RNAcentral
GACGAACGCUGGCGGCGUGCUUAACACAUGCAAGUCGAACGAUGAAGCCAGCUUGCUGGUGGAUUAGUGGCGAACGGGUGAGUAACACGUGGGUGAUCUGCCCCAAACUUUGGGAUAAGCCUGGGAAACUGGGUCUAAUACCGAAUAUGACCGAUACUCGCAUGGGUGUUGGUGGAAAGCUCCGGCGGUUUGGGAUGGGCCCGCGGCCUAUCAGCUUGUUGGUGGGGUAAUGGCCUACCAAGGCGACGACGGGUAGCCGGCCUGAGAGGGCGACCGGCCACACUGGGACUGAGACACGGACCAGACUCCUCCGGGAGGCAGCAGUGGGGAAUAUUGCACAAUGGGCGCAAGCCUGAUGCAGCGACGCCGCGUGAGGGAUGACGGCCUUCGGGUUGUAAACCUCUUUCACCAGGGACGAAGCGAAAGUGACGGUACCUGGAGAAGAAGCACCGGCCAACUACGUG